GGGAUGCUUUACACAUGCAAGUCGAACGGCAGCACGAGAGAGCUUGCUCUCUUGGUGGCGAGUGGCGGACGGGUGAGUAAUAUAUCGGAACGUGCCCAGUAGCGGGGGAUAACUACUCGAAAGAGUGGCUAAUACCGCAUACGCCCUACGGGGGAAAGGGGGGGAUUCUUCGGAACCUCUCACUAUUGGAGCGGCCGAUAUCGGAUUAGCUAGUUGGUGGGGUAAAGGCUCACCAAGGCAACGAUCCGUAGCUGGUUUGAGAGGACGACCAGCCACACUGGGACUGAGACACGGCCCAGACUCCUACGGGAGGCAGCAGUGGGGAAUUUUGGACAAUGGGGGAAACCCUGAUCCAGCCAUCCCGCGUGUAUGAUGAAGGCCUUCGGGUUGUAAAGUACUUUUGGCAGAGAAGAAAAGGUAUCCCCUAAUACGGGAUACUGCUGACGGUAUCUGCAGAAUAAGCACCGGCUAACUACGUGCCAGCAGCC
This 488-nucleotide ribosomal RNA is filed under the name Alcaligenes faecalis. Its description in RNAcentral is "bacterial SSU rRNA". It matches the Rfam family "Bacterial small subunit ribosomal RNA", at positions 41 to 516 of the family's 1533-position model. Lineage: Bacteria; Pseudomonadati; Pseudomonadota; Betaproteobacteria; Burkholderiales; Alcaligenaceae. The record is from RNAcentral.